RNAcentral lists this ribosomal RNA (366 nucleotides) under uncultured bacterium. Its description in RNAcentral is "bacterial SSU rRNA". It matches the Rfam family "Bacterial small subunit ribosomal RNA", at positions 28 to 424 of the family's 1533-position model. The record is from RNAcentral.
GACGAGCGCUGGCGGCAGGCCUAACACAUGCAAGUCGAGCGGGCGUAGCAAUACGUCAGCGGCGGACGGGUGAGUAACACGUGGGAAUAUGCCUUUCGGUUUGGAACAACUCGGGAAACCCGUCGCUAAUUCCGGAUACGCCCUUAGGGGAAAGGAUUAUCGCCGAAAGAUUAGCCCGCGUCCGAUUAGCUAGUUGGUGAGGUAACGGCCCACCAAGGCGACGAUCGGUAGCUGGUUUGAGAGAACGACCAGCCACACUGGGACUGAGACACGGCCCAGACUCCUACGGGAGGCAGCAGUGGGGAAUCUUGGACAAUGGAGGAAACUCUGAUCCAGCCAUGCCGCGUGAGUGAUGAAGGCCUGGUU